GAAUUCGAUUAGAGUUUGAUCAUGGCUCAGAACGUACGCUGGCGGCACGCCUAACACAUGCAAGUCGAACGAAGUAGCAAUACUUAGUGGCAGACGGGUGAGUAACAUGUAGGUAUCUGCCCUUUGGCCUGGAAUAACACGAGGAAACUUGUGCUAAUACCGGAUAAGUCUUUACGGAGAAAGCUUUAUGCACCAUUGGAUGAGCCUGCACUUGAUUAGUUUGUUGGUGGGGUAAUGGCCUACCAAGACUGUGAUCAAUAGCUGAUUUGAGAGGAUGAUCAGCCACAUUGGGACUGAGACACGGCCCAAACUCCUACGGGAGGCAGCAGUGGGGAAUCUUGCACAAUGGAGGAAACUCUGAUGCAGCGAUGCCGCGUGAGUGAAGAAGGCCUUUGGGUUGUAAAGCUCUUUCGUCGGGGAAGAAAAUGACUGUACCCGAAUAAGAAGGUCCGGCUAACUUCGUGCCAGCAGCCGCGGUAAUACGAAGGGACCUAGCGUAGUUCGGAAUUACUGGGCUUAAAGAGUUCGUAGGUGGUUGAAAAAGUUGGUGGUGAAAUCCCAGAGCUUAACUCUGGAACUGCCAUCAAAACUUUUCAGCUAGAGUAUGAUUGAGGAAAGCAGAAUUUCUAGUGUAGAGGUGAAAUUCGUAGAUAUUAGAAAGAAUACCAAUUGCGAAGGCAGCUUUCUGGAUCAUUACUGACACUGAGGAACGAAAGCAUGGGUAGCGAAGAGGAUUAGAUACCCUCGUAGUCCAUGCCGUAAACGAUGUGUGUUAGACGUUGGAAAUUUAUUUUCAGUGUCGCAGCGAAAGCGAUAAACACACCGCCUGGGGAGUACGACCGCAAGGUUAAAACUCAAAUGAAUUGACGGGGACCCGCACAAGUAGUGGAGCAUGUGGUUUAAUUCGAAGAUACGCGCAGAACCUUACCAACACUUGACAUGUUCGUCGCGACUUUAAGAGAUUAGAGUUUUCGGUUCGGCCGGACGAAACACAGGUGCUGCAUGGCUGUCGUCAGCUCGUGUCGUGAGAUGUUGGGUUAAGUCCCGCAACGAGCGCAACCCUCACUUUUAGUUGCCAUCAUUUAGUUGGGCACUCUGAAAGAACUGCCAGUGAUAAGCUGGAGGAAGGUGGGGAUGACGUCAAGUCCUCAUGGCCCUUACGUGUUGGGCUACACACGUGCUACAAUGGUAUCUACAACAGGAAGCAAGACGGCGACGUUAAGCAAAUCCUUAAAAGAUACCUCAGUUCGGAUUGCACUCUGCAACUCGAGUGCAUGAAGCUGGAAUUACUAGUAAUCGUGGAUCAGCGUGCCACGGUGAAUGCGUUCCGCGGGUCUUGUACACACCGCCCGUA
RNAcentral lists this ribosomal RNA (1354 nucleotides) under uncultured bacterium. Its description in RNAcentral is "bacterial SSU rRNA". It matches the Rfam family "Bacterial small subunit ribosomal RNA". The record is from RNAcentral.